This 1388-nucleotide ribosomal RNA is filed under the name uncultured bacterium. RNAcentral describes it as "partial 16S ribosomal RNA". It matches the Rfam family "Bacterial small subunit ribosomal RNA", at positions 8 to 1385 of the family's 1533-position model. The record is from RNAcentral.
AGAGUUUGAUCCUGGCUCAGGAUGAACGCUAGCGGCAGGCUUAACACAUGCAAGUCGAGGGGCAGCGGGGAGGAAGCUUGCUUUCUCCGCCGGCGACCGGCGCACGGGUGAGUAACACGUAUGCAACCUGCCCCUGUCAGGGGGACAACCCGCCGAAAGGCGGGCUAAACCCGCGUACAUGCCACCGGGGCAUCCCGGAGGCAGGAAAGGCUUCGGCCGGACAGGGAUGGGCAUGCGGCGCAUUAGGCAGUAGGCGGGGUAACGGCCCACCUAACCGACGAUGCGUAGGGGUUCUGAGAGGAAGGUCCCCCACACUGGUACUGAGACACGGACCAGACUCCUACGGGAGGCAGCAGUGAGGAAUAUUGGUCAAUGGUCGGGAGACUGAACCAGCCAAGCCGCGUGAGGGAGGAAGGUACAGAGUAUCGUAAACCUCUUUUGUCAGGGAACAAAGGCGGGGACGUGUCCCCGGAUGAGUGUACCUGAAGAAAAAGCAUCGGCUAACUCCGUGCCAGCAGCCGCGGUAAUACGGAGGAUGCGAGCGUUAUCCGGAUUUAUUGGGUUUAAAGGGUGCGCAGGCGGUCUGUUAAGUCAGCGGUCAAAGCCCGGGGCUCAACCCCGGCCCGCCGUUGAAACUGGCAGUCUCGAGUUGGAGAGAAGUAUGCGGAAUGCGCGGUGUAGCGGUGAAAUGCAUAGAUAUCGCGCAGAACUCCGAUUGCGAAGGCAGCAUGCCGGCUCCACACUGACGCUGAGGCACGAAAGCGUGGGUAUCGAACAGGAUUAGAUACCCUGGUAGUCCACGCAGUAAACGAUGAAUGCUGGCUGUCCGGGGGGAUUGACCCCUGGGUGGCGAAGCGAAAGCGAUAAGCAUUCCACCUGGGGAGUACGCCGGCAACGGUGAAACUCAAAGGAAUUGACGGGGGCCCGCACAAGCGGAGGAACAUGUGGUUUAAUUCGAUGAUACGCGAGGAACCUUACCCGGGCUCAAACGGGGAGUGUCUCAGGCAGAGACGCCUGUUUCCCACGGGACACUCCCCGAGGUGCUGCAUGGUUGUCGUCAGCUCGUGCCGUGAGGUGUCGGCUUAAGUGCCAUAACGAGCGCAACCCCCGCGUGCAGUUGCUAACAGAUAACGCUGAGGACUCUGCACGGACUGCCGGCGCAAGCCGCGAGGAAGGCGGGGAUGACGUCAAAUCAGCACGGCCCUUACGUCCGGGGCGACACACGUGUUACAAUGGGUGGUACAGCGGGAAGCCAGGCGGCGACGCCGAGCGGAACCCGAAAUCCACUCUCAGUUCGGAUCGGAGUCUGCAACCCGACUCCGUGAAGCUGGAUUCGCUAGUAAUCGCGCAUCAGCCAUGGCGCGGUGAAUACGUAAGCGGGCCUUGCA